GUGGUCUUGUCUUAGAGCUAUUCCUACCUUGGAUUUUGGGGGGUUUUCUUUUUUAAGAUGGCCUUAUUCUCUUCUCCUCUUCAUAUGCCUGGUGCCAUAAGAUCUGGAGCUACCCCUCCUAGAAGGACCCUGCCUUUGGGAGCAUUCAAGGACCAGGCCAGUGCCCUGUGUAGGAGAUGCAUCAAGUGUGUAGCUGGGACCAGAUCUGCUUCAGUCCCUCAGAAGAAAGGUUCUGAGUGCUACUACUCAGAUGGCCAAGACCAUGGUGUGUGCCUUAGGGAAAGGGGACAGUGACACCCUUCCCCUGGCUCCAAACAAGGCCUACAGCUUGUGAAAGGGCUCUGCUCAAGUCCCUGCACCAAUGCAACCUGCCAAGGGAAAGCGCUCACCAUGGUUCUGUCUUGACCUGCCAGUUUAGAUACCCAUCUAAAGUCACUGUCGCUUACAGUUGUGGCAAUUCUGAAUGUCGACAGGAGAAUGUCUCCCGGAUUUCAGCCUUUUAGAAGAUAAAAUGGUCCUAUGUGUUCAUGAACAAAACCCACCAGUUUCCCCAGGGCAGUGAGUUACCUGACAUCUGGCAGAUUCCUGGAAGGUUUCCUCUGGCCCCAUACUGGGAUCCAUUCCUGGGACAACUAGAAGUGCCAGGGAGUUAAAGCCCCAAGAGCGACCUUCAAGCCAAUAAGAGAUGGAGUUGGAAUGAAAACCUCAGCUUCCUCAUACCUCAGUGGGACAAUCCUGAGAUGUGUUCCUCAAGUCUCUCCAAGGACCUGAUGGGACUGAGUCCUGGUUGCUCAUGAGAGAAACCAGCAGGACUGGAUGUCAGUGAUUGCACCAUGCAGGAUUACAGAUUGUGCUGAGUUUAGAUUUUCUGCCUUCCUCCUCAGUUGUCAGGCUGCUAGCCAGCUCUUCUGCUCCCAUGACACCUGCAUCGAAUGCCUGCCCUUUCCUUACUACAAGACCCUUUCCAGUUCCCAGAUUAGAAUCUGCCACAGGCUAGGAAUCCCACAUCCCAGUAGUGAUUUGGCUCCAAGUGCAAAGGCACCUAGUGUCUGCCUUUUGUUCAGCAGCUUGGUGAUGGACAUAUCCAGGACUCAGAGACCCCUUUCCCUCAGCUCUCUGAGUUGGAAGCUGUCAGGUGCAGAAGGGCAACAUCUUACAUACACAGGGUUUGGGCAGGUCUGGGCAGUGCCUGGUUAAUGUUAAAUAAUGCAGAUAAAGGAAUUGUUGACAUCUGAAAGUCAAUAUGAAAAUUGUAUGCACUGCUGUGACUCAUGCAACUUCACUCCCAGCCCUGGUUCUCAUGAUUCCAGAAGUGGAAAAAAUAAGGCAACUCUUUUCCUCACAAUUCAAAAAAAUACCUAUUGAGCAACAUCAGCUUGGCCCACACAAGACAAUUUUUAUCCCUUCCGUUAGUUAACUUUGCUUUGGCCAAAGGCCAGAAAAACCUCAUUCUUUACAGGCAACCUCAGACCACCAUCCUGGAUCCACUUCAAAAACUAACUGCAGACCUGUGUCUUA
RNAcentral lists this long non-coding RNA (1518 nucleotides) under Homo sapiens (human). RNAcentral's name for it is "HSALNT0343583". Lineage: Eukaryota; Metazoa; Chordata; Mammalia; Primates; Hominidae. The record is from RNAcentral.